AACGAACGCUGGCGGCAUGCCUAACACAUGCAAGUCGAACGAGACCUUCGGGUCUAGUGGCGCACGGGUGCGUAACGCGUGGGAACAUGCCCUUAGGUGCGGAAUAACUCCCCGAAAGGGGUGCUAAUACCGGAUAAUGUCUUCGGACCAAAGAUUUAUCGCCUUUGGAUGGGCCCGCGUUGGAUUAGCUAGUUGGUAGGGUAAAAGCCUACCAAGGCGACGAUCCAUAGCUGGUCUGAGAGGAUGAUCAGCCACACUGGGACUGAGACACGGCCCAGACUCCUACGGGAGGCAGCAGUGGGGAAUAUUGGACAAUGGGCGAAAGCCUGAUCCAGCCAUGCCGCGUGAGUGAUGAAGGCCUUAGGGUUGUAAAGCUCUUUUACCCGGGAUGAUAAUGACAGUACCGGGAGAAUAAGCUCCGGCUAACUCCGUG
Molecule: ribosomal RNA, 433 nt
Filed under: uncultured bacterium
Lineage: Bacteria
Description: partial 16S ribosomal RNA
Rfam family: Bacterial small subunit ribosomal RNA
Source: RNAcentral